Molecule: long non-coding RNA, 857 nt
Filed under: Brachypodium distachyon (stiff brome)
Lineage: Eukaryota; Viridiplantae; Streptophyta; Magnoliopsida; Poales; Poaceae
Description: long non-coding RNA (BDIS_LNC004881)
Source: RNAcentral
CUUCAGGUGUAGAUGCUCAAGCACCGACGGAUGAUGGCACAAUGGCGACAAUACGUGAUGCUAUUGCCGCGAGCAUCGUGCCUUCGGAUUAGUUGUUAUGUGGUUUUUAUAUUUAAUGUCCUUUUGUGGAAAUCCAACAUUUAUGUAAUAUUUUUGGGUACUCUAAAGUAUCAAAGACACCACGCAUUAUUAAUUUUAAUAUUUUGCUAUUAUUAUUUUUAUUUUUAUUUUAUCGUUUUAUCCGAUAUACGUGUAUUACAAUUAGUCAAAUAGCUAAGACAAUUUCGGAGCAGGGGUAUUACAGACUUUUCAACAGACAAUUCAUAUAAUAAGCUGAGAUGCCAAAAGCCGAAAAGAACUGGACUGCAAGUUUGUCAGGAGCUUCUCCCCACCACAGUUUCUGGGGGUAGAGAAGCUGAAACCGUUUCUGGAGAAGCUGAAGCCGAAAAGAAGGCACAGCUUUUUAUUAAGCAAAUUGCGUCGAAAAUAUUAAGUAUGAAGCCGAAAAUAUUAAGCAAAUCUCCAGAAGCGGAUAUGUUUCUUGGGGGUAGAUUUGCUUAAUAUUAAGCAAAUCUAUGAUCUACAUACUUCUGCCCUUGUAUCUUUUUAUGUCGAAGCUUAAUCAGGUAGCCCCGAGGUAACUAACCUGCCUCGUUUUUAUCUGAUUUAUUCAUUUCUGAGUACAGAUCAGGGCUUGGUCAUCUCCUUUUAAAAUUGAGUAAAUUGCGUCCUGAUUUCUCAUUUUUUGUUUAAGGGUUACUAUGGUGAAGUUCUCUAUUUUUAGUUAGAUAUCAGUUGAUGCGAUGGUGGUCCUCUAGAAGAGGGGGGAAUGGGGAUGGCAUGCAAAUCUAGUGUGU